GCGAGCGUUAAUCGGAAUUAUUGGGCGUAAAGAGCUCGUAGGCGGCUUGUCACGUCGGUUGUGAAAGCCCGAGGCUUAACCUCGGGUCUGCAGUCGAUACGGGCUAGCUAGAGUGUGGUAGGGGAGAUCGGAAUUCCUGGUGUAGCGGUGAAAUGCGCAGAUAUCAGGAGGAACACCGGUGGCGAAGGCGGAUCUCUGGGCCAUUACUGACGCUGAGGAGCGAAAGCGUGGGGAGCGAACAGG
RNAcentral lists this ribosomal RNA (243 nucleotides) under uncultured bacterium. RNAcentral describes it as "partial 16S ribosomal RNA". It matches the Rfam family "Bacterial small subunit ribosomal RNA", at positions 534 to 776 of the family's 1533-position model. The record is from RNAcentral.